Molecule: non-coding RNA, 900 nt
Organism: Lepisosteus oculatus (spotted gar)
Lineage: Eukaryota; Metazoa; Chordata; Actinopteri; Semionotiformes; Lepisosteidae
Source: the annotation of a RefSeq genome assembly
UUGUAACACCUUGAGGAAGACGUCCAAGAUGCUUACCAUACAAGUCCUUGUAGCUCUGGUCUCUGUGACCCUUGUCCAAGGAGAAAUAGUUUUCUCCCAGUCUCCCUCAGUAGUCCCUGUGUCUCUUGGAGAAUCUGUCACUCUGGAGUGCUUGGUUAAGGGUGAUAAUGUCAGCAGAAUAGGUGUGCCCUGGAUUCGUCAGACCCCUGGGAAACAACCUGAAGGAGUAGCGUAUUUUACUUCUGAUAAAAAGAUCUACAGACCCUCUGCGAUCCCUGAUCGGUUUGUGCCGUCCAGAGAUGAAUCCAAGAACAGCUAUCUUCUCACUGUGAGCAACAUUCAGGAAGGUGAUGACUCCAUCUAUUACUGUUUCAAGUACUAUACUGAUGGCGAACAGACAUGGGGAGAAGGAACUCGCAUCAAAGUUCUCAAAAGCGGCCUCCCCCCUCCUGUCCUCCAGCUCUUCCCUCCGCCCACACAAGAGGUCUCCGCUAACGGCUCGGUGACGGUCACCUGCUUGGUGAGCGGUUUCUACCCCGGCUUCGUCGACGUGAGCUGGAGUGUGGACGGCGCCCCGGUCACCAGCGGCGUGCACAGCGCCCCCGUGUGGCUGGACAGCGCCAACGCCGCCCAGAACACCUACGUCACCAGCAGCUCCCUGAGCCUGCCCGCGGCGGAGUGGCAGACUCACGCGCUCUACUCCUGCAUCGCCAAGCACGAGUCCAGCCCCACGCCCGUCAUAGCAUCCAUCACCCCGCAGGGCUGCUGAGCGCCCCCUGGUGGCUCGAGAGGCUUCAGCAUGCUGCUAUGUGAACGCAAAUGUCAAGAUGUAUGAUCUCUGCAAUUAAAACUCCUUCUCCUAAUGUAUCGCUUCAAUUCAAGUAUAAUAAAGACACAUGA